Molecule: ribosomal RNA, 912 nt
Filed under: uncultured bacterium
Lineage: Bacteria
Description: bacterial SSU rRNA
Rfam family: Bacterial small subunit ribosomal RNA
Source: RNAcentral
GAGGUUGACGGUAGGUGGGGGAGAAGCAACGGCAGUACUUCCAGCAGCACCGCUAACAAGUAGGGUGCGAGCGUCGUCCGGAAUCAUUGGCGUAAUGAGCUCGGUAGGCGGUGUGUCGCGUCGGGCCGUGAAAACUCGCAGAUUAACCGUGAGCGUGCGAUCGAUACGAGCAUCAUGGAGUUCGGCAGGGGAGACUGGAAUUCCUGGUGUAGCGGUGAAAAUGCGCAGAUAUCAGGAGGAACACCGGUGGCGAAGGCGGGUAUGUGGGCCGAUACUGACGAUGAGGAGCGAAAGCGUGGGGAGCGAACAGGAUUAGAUACCCUGGUAGUCCACGCCGUAAACGCUGGGCGCUAGGUGUGGGGACCAUUCCACGGUUUAUGUGCCGUAGCUAACGCAUUAAGCGCCCCGCCUGGGGAGUACGGCCGCAAGGCUAAAACUCAAAGGAAUUGACGGGGGCCCGCACAAGCGGCGGAGCAUGUGGAUUAAUUCGAUGCAACGCGAAGAACCUUACCUGGGUUUGACAUGCACCAGGCGCGUCUAGAGAUGGGCGUUCCCUUGUGGAUGGUGUGCAGGUGGUGCAUGGCUGUCGUCAGCUCGCGUCGUGAGAUGUUGGGUUAAGUCCCGCAACGAGCGCAACCCUUGUUCCAUGUCGCCAGCGCGUGAUGGCGGGGACUCAUGGGAGACUGCCGGGGUCAACUCGGAGGAAGGUGGGGAGGACGUCAAGUCAUCAUGCCCCUUAUGUCCAGGGGUUCACACAUGCUACAAUGGCCUAUACAGAGGGCUGCGAGACCGUGAGGUGGAGCGAAUCCCUUAAAGUGGGUGUCACUUCGGAUCGGGGUCUGCAACUCCGCCCCCGAAAUUGGAGUCGGUAGUAAUCGCAGAUCAGCAACGCCGCGGUGAAUACGUUCCCGG